GAUUUCUGGUUUAAUGCACCUGGCCCGCGGCCACUAGGCUUGUGAGUGCCGGCGCGCGUUUACCAUCCUUCUAGAAAACGUUUCUGCCAUUAACUUGGUUGGGAAUGCGAUCUAGAUCUUUUACUUUGAAAAAAUUAGAGUGUUUAAAGCAGGCUUUUGCUAUGAAUACAUUAGCAUGGAAUAAUAAUCUAGGACUUCGGUUCUAUUUUGUUGGUUUCUAUAACUAUUCUUGGAUUCGGUCAAGACUAACUUAUGCGAAAGCAUU
This 265-nucleotide ribosomal RNA is filed under the name uncultured Cercomonas. RNAcentral's name for it is "partial 18S ribosomal RNA". The stretch from base 107 to 265 matches the Rfam family "Eukaryotic small subunit ribosomal RNA", at positions 738 to 955 of the family's 1831-position model. The record is from RNAcentral. Lineage: Eukaryota; Cercozoa; Cercomonadida; Cercomonadidae.